AACUUUUUUUAGGUGUGGUGUUAUAAAUUUAUGUGCAAUAUAUUCAACUUGGUCAUGAUAUUUUAUUUCUAAAAUUACUAAAAAUUGAUUUUAAAUGGGGUAAAUCUCCAAAAUAGCACCUUUCUAAGUUUAUAUCACAAAAAUAGCACUCAAAAACUAAAAUGACCAAAAUAGCACCUUUCUAAGUUUAUCCUUUGAAAAUUUUAAUUUUUUAUUUUUCAAAAUUUGAAAUCUUAUCCCCAAAACCUCAUUUCUCAACUCUAAACCCUAAACCCUAAACUCUAAACCCUAAACCCUAAACCCUAAACCCUACCCUUUAA
RNAcentral lists this long non-coding RNA (320 nucleotides) under Brassica napus (rape). RNAcentral describes it as "long non-coding RNA (BNAP_LNC023103)". The record is from RNAcentral. Lineage: Eukaryota; Viridiplantae; Streptophyta; Magnoliopsida; Brassicales; Brassicaceae.